RNAcentral lists this ribosomal RNA (440 nucleotides) under uncultured bacterium. RNAcentral's name for it is "partial 16S ribosomal RNA". It matches the Rfam family "Bacterial small subunit ribosomal RNA", at positions 338 to 795 of the family's 1533-position model. The record is from RNAcentral.
CCUACGGGAGGCAGCAGUAGGGAAUAUUGCUCAAUGGGCGAAACACUGAAGCAGCCACGCCGCGUGGAGGAUGAAGGUUUUCGGAUUGUUAACUCCUUUUGUUAGAGAAGAUAAUGACGGUAUCUAACGAAUAAGCACCGGCUAACUCCGUGCCAGCAGCCGCGGUUACACGGAGGGUGCAAGCGUUAAUCGGAAUCACUGGGCGUAAAGGGGGCGUAGGCGGGUUAGCAAGUCCGAUGUGAAAUCCUGGGGCUUAACCAUAGAACUGCAGUUGAAACUGUUAUUCUAGAGUAUGGGAGAGGUAGGUGGAAUUCGUGGUGUAGGGGUAAAAUCCGUAGAGAUCAAGAGGAAUACUCAUUGCGAAGGCGACCUGCUAGAACAUAACUGACGCUGAUGCGCGAAAGCGUGGGGAGCAAACAGGAUUAGAUACCCGAGUAGUC